CCUACGGGAGGCAGCAGUGGGGAAGAGUGCACAAUGGGGGAAACCCUGAUGCAGCGACGCCGCGUGAGUGAAGAAGUAAUUCGUUAUGUAAAGCUCUAUCAGCAGGGAAGAAAAGGACGGUACCUGAGUAAGAAGCCCCGGCUAACGACGUGCCAGCAGCCGCGGUAAUACGUAGGGGGCAAGCGUUAUCCGGAUUUACUGGGUGUAAAGGGAGCGUAGACGGCAGUGCAAGUCUGGAGUGAAAGGCGGGGGCUCACCCCCCGGACGGCUCUGGAAACUGUACGGCUGGAGUGCAGGAGAGGUAAGUGGUAUUCCUAGUGUCGCUGUUACAUGCGUCGAUAUUAGGCG
RNAcentral lists this ribosomal RNA (348 nucleotides) under uncultured bacterium. RNAcentral describes it as "partial 16S ribosomal RNA". It matches the Rfam family "Bacterial small subunit ribosomal RNA", at positions 338 to 703 of the family's 1533-position model. The record is from RNAcentral.